GCGCCGCACCGCACCGCGCGGGCGGCCAUGGAGCGCGCCUAGGGCCCGACAGGAAUUGUGGAAGGCGCUUCAGUGAAGAAAUGGACCAGUGUGUAUAGCCAUGGACUCUCCUUACUAACCAUCACCACCUGUUCUCCUUGAUAAGUGAGCCAGAGAGCGGCCAGGUAGAAGGAAACCAGGUCACCAUGAAGCUAAAGCAGCGAGUUGUGCUGUUAGCAAUUCUCCUUGUCAUCUUUAUCUUCACCAAAGUUUUCCUGAUUGACAACUUGGAUACAUCAGCUGCCAACCGGGAGGACCAGAGGGCUUUUCACCGAAUGAUGACUAGCUUGCGAGUGGAGCUGGUGCCCAGGCUGGACCACACCUUGCAGUCUCCCUGGGAGAUUGCUGCCCAGUGGGUGGUUCCUCGGGAGGUGUACCCUGAAGAGACACCAGAACUGGGGGCAAUCAUGCAUGCCAUGGCCACCAAGAAAAUCAUUAAAGCUGAUGUGGGUUAUAAAGGGACACAGCUGAAAGCCUUACUAAUACUUGAAGGAGGACAGAAAGUUGUCUUCAAACCUAAGCGGUAUAGCCGAGACUAUGUGGUAGAAGGGGAGCCGUAUGCUGGUUACGAUAGACACAAUGCAGAGGUGGCAGCCUUUCACUUGGACAGGAUUCUGGGUUUCCGCCGAGCCCCCUUGGUGGUUGGCAGAUUUGUUAAUCUUCGGACAGAGAUCAAGCCUGUUGCCACGGAGCAGCUGUUGAGCACAUUCCUAACUGUAGGAAACAAUACUUGUUUCUAUGGGAAAUGUUAUUACUGCCGAGAAACAGAGCCAGCAUGUGCUGAUGGAGACACAAUGGAGGGUUCUGUCACACUUUGGCUUCCAGAUGUGUGGCCUCUGCAGAAACACUGACACCCGUGGGGCAGGACUUAUCGGGAAGGCAAACUGGCCAGGUGGGAGUAUGAUGAGAGCUACUGUGAUGCAGUAAAGAAGACGUCCCCUUAUGACUCUGGCCCACGCCUCUUGGACAUCAUUGAUACAGCUGUCUUUGACUACCUGAUUGGCAAUGCUGACCGCCAUCACUAUGAGAGCUUUCAAGACGAUGAGGGUGCUAGUAUGCUUAUCCUUCUCGAUAAUGCCAAAAGCUUUGGGAACCCCUCACUGGAUGAAAGAAGCAUUCUUGCCCCCCUCUACCAGUGUUGCAUCAUUCGAGUUUCUACCUGGAACAGACUGAACUACCUGAAGAAUGGUGUGCUAAAGUCUGCCUUAAAAUCUGCCAUGGCCCAUGACCCCAUCUCCCCAGUGCUCUCCGAUCCUCAUUUGGACACCAUGGACCAGCGGCUCCUGAGUAUCCUGGCCACCAUGAAGCAGUGCACUGACCAGUUUGGGAUGGACACUGUACUGGUGGAAGACAGGAUGCCUCUCUCCCACUUGUAAUUCUCAACACAAAAUAAGUGAAACUUCUUUUUACAAAGAUAGAGAAA
RNA transcript from Carlito syrichta (Philippine tarsier), 1462 nucleotides. It is a transcript of the gene named glycosaminoglycan xylosylkinase pseudogene, with no coding region annotated. The record is from RefSeq and is a predicted model, not a curated record. The transcript has a single exon. NCBI's taxonomy places the organism in Eukaryota, Metazoa, Chordata, Mammalia, Primates, Tarsiidae.